AUUGAACGCUGGCGGCAUGCUUUACACAUGCAAGUCGAACGGUAACAGGCCGCAAGGUGCUGACGAGUGGCGAACGGGUGCGUAAUGCAUCGGAACGUGCCCAGUCGUGGGGGAUAACUACUCGAAAGAGUAGCUAAUACCGCAUACGAUCUAUGGAUGAAAGCGGGGGACCGUAAGGCCUCGCGCGAUUGGAGCGGCCGAUGUCAGAUUAGGUAGUUGGUGGGGUAAAGGCUCACCAAGCCAACGAUCUGUAGCUGGUCUGAGAGGACGACCAGCCACACUGGGACUGAGACACGGCCCAGACUCCUACGGGAGGCAGCAGUGGGGAAUUUUGGACAAUGGGCGCAAGCCUGAUCCCGCAAUGCCGCGUGCAGGAAGAAGGCCUUCGGGUUGUAAACUGCUUUUGUACGGAACGAAACGGCUCUGGUUAAUACCCGGGGCUAAUGACGGUACCGUAAGAAUAAGCACCGGCUAACUACGUG
RNAcentral lists this ribosomal RNA (482 nucleotides) under uncultured bacterium. Its description in RNAcentral is "partial 16S ribosomal RNA". It matches the Rfam family "Bacterial small subunit ribosomal RNA", at positions 30 to 507 of the family's 1533-position model. The record is from RNAcentral.